Magnolia sinica is the source of this 499-nucleotide long non-coding RNA. RefSeq lists it as uncharacterized. Lineage: Eukaryota; Viridiplantae; Streptophyta; Magnoliopsida; Magnoliales; Magnoliaceae. The transcript is spliced from 3 exons. The record is from RefSeq and is a predicted model, not a curated record.
UCUCUCUUUUCUCUGUUGAAUUUCUUACUUGUUUGUAGGUCCUUAUGGUUCAUGAAGACAUCUCCCAUAUAUAGCUUGAAUUGAUUCCCAUGAUUUAGGAAAUACUUAAUGGAUUAUUCUCCACUUGGGGGGAACAACACCAUCUGAGUCACCACUUUUGGAGGAUUUUAGCUCUUGCCUUUCGUCAUUGCGCAUUGAUUUACGUGUCCUUGGAGGGUGUGGAGCAAGAGAAGGUGGAAACUGUUUUCAAGCCUGUUUGUUGAUAUUAAAUUCCAUGACGUUCAAGGGAAGAAUUACCGUUGUGCCAUACUGAAGUUGAACAAGGAUAUUGUGCCUGAGCAAUGUAAGGUGGUUGUUAAGCCCAACCGAGUCAUUGUCACACUGUUUAAAACUUCAAAAGGGAAUUGGCUUGAUUUGCACUUCAAAGAAGAUAAGUUGAAGCCAAAUAUGGAUAAAUAAAAGGAUCCAAUGGCUGGAAUUAUGGAUUUGAUGAAGGUAA